AUAAUAUGGCUUUGAUUUGAUUCUGACCCCAAAAGGAACACCUUCAUGUGCAAGCGGCCGCUUCGAGCCAUCGACCUCUGCUCUGAGCCCCGGUUCAGCAGCGGGUCAGCGGAAGGAGGGGGGCACUGCGUGUUAUUGGGGGGUGCCAGUUUCCUCUCCUCGCCACGGUUACAGCUGCUGCUGCCAUGGAAACUGCUUUGCAGACUGAGGAAGGACCCGCGUGUGGAUACUUGCAGAUAUAGAGUUAGAGAGAAUGACAUGCACGAUAAUGGUGACGCUGCCUACAUAAAACACACUGACUGUUGGGCCGUUGAAUGGGGGAGGACAGUUUCCACGUGCUCUUCGCUUCAUGGUGGUUGUCAAGACGUUUGACCUCAGUUGAACAGCUCCGGGUAAACAAGUCAUCGCAAAUGUCCCCUCCCUCAGUUCCAAACAGCUUGCAUCCCAUCAGCGCGCAUGUUUUGCCAGGACAGAUGACAGGAAAACAGUCUCAGCUCAUGUUCAUAAUAAGGUAGGUGUAAGAGGACUUUGCCGUUGACUUUUCCUUGUGGUCCUUCUUAUACUUCAUGCGACGGUUUUGGAACCAGAUUUUAAUCUGCCGGUCGGUGAGCUUCAGCAGCUCAGCCAUUUCAAGUCUCCGGUUGCGGCACAGCCUCACUUGUGGAUUUCCAGAGGCCCAUGACUGAAGGUCGCAGCUCUAGUUUUUGAUCAGCGGAGGACCAGCGGAAAUUAUUAACAUGCUACUUCAUAAUAACAUAUCACAUAACAUUACAUAAAAAUCUGUUUUUCUGUAUUGUUUAAAUGUCGUAACAUAUGACAAUAAAUGGAAUUUUAAAAAGCCUGA
This 844-nucleotide long non-coding RNA is filed under the name Danio rerio (zebrafish). RNAcentral describes it as "si:dkey-81p22.11 (ENSDARG00000093797.5)". Lineage: Eukaryota; Metazoa; Chordata; Actinopteri; Cypriniformes; Danionidae. The record is from RNAcentral.